This 468-nucleotide ribosomal RNA is filed under the name uncultured bacterium. RNAcentral describes it as "partial 16S ribosomal RNA". It matches the Rfam family "Bacterial small subunit ribosomal RNA", at positions 28 to 507 of the family's 1533-position model. The record is from RNAcentral.
GACGAACGCUGGCGGCGUGCUUAACACAUGCAAGUCGAACGGAAAGGCCCUGCUUUUGUGUGGUGCUCGAGUGGCGAACGGGUGAGUAACACGUGAGUAACCUGCCCUUGACUUUGGGAUAACUUCAGGAAACUGGGGCUAAUACCGGAUAGGAUCUCCUGCUGCAUGGUGGGGGUUGGAAAGUUUCGGCGGUUGGGGAUGGACUCGCGGCUUAUCAGCUUGUUGGUGGGGUAGUGGCUUACCAAGGCUUUGACGGGUAGCCGGCCUGAGAGGGUGACCGGCCACAUUGGGACUGAGAUACGGCCCAGACUCCUACGGGAGGCAGCAGUGGGGAAUAUUGCACAAUGGGCGGAAGCCUGAUGCAGCAACGCCGCGUGCGGGAUGACGGCCUUCGGGUUGUAAACCGCUUUCGCCUGUGACGAAGCGUGAGUGACGGUAAUGGGUAAAGAAGCACCGGCUAACUACGUG